GACGAACGCUGGCGGCGUGCCUAAUACAUGCAAGUUGAGCGAUGAAGCUUGGUGCUUGCGCCGAGUUGGAGAGCAGCGCACGGGUGAGUCACGCGUGUGGAAUCUGCCUUUGAGCGGGGGACAACAUUUGGAAACGAAUGCUAAUACCGCAUAACAACUUUAAACAUAAGUGUUAAGUGUGAAAGACGCAAUUGCAUCACUCAAAGAUGAUCCCGCGUUGUAUUAGGUAGGUGGUGAGGUAAAGGAGCACCAAGGCGAUGAUACAUAGCCGAACGGAGAGGGUGGGCGGCCAGAGUGGGAGGGAGACCGGGCCCAAAGGCCUAGGGGAGGCAGCAGGAGGGAUACGUGGGCAAUGGGCGAAAGACUGACCGAGAAACGCCGAGGGAGGGAAGAAGGUUUUCGGAUCGGAAAACUCGGUUGGUAGGGAAGAAAGUGGGUGAGAGUGGAACGCUCAGUAAGUGACGGUAACUACCCAGAAAGGGACGGCUAACUACGUG
RNAcentral lists this ribosomal RNA (497 nucleotides) under uncultured bacterium. RNAcentral's name for it is "partial 16S ribosomal RNA". It matches the Rfam family "Bacterial small subunit ribosomal RNA", at positions 28 to 507 of the family's 1533-position model. The record is from RNAcentral.